RNAcentral lists this long non-coding RNA (420 nucleotides) under Pan troglodytes (chimpanzee). Its description in RNAcentral is "long non-coding RNA NONPTRT011376". The record is from RNAcentral. Lineage: Eukaryota; Metazoa; Chordata; Mammalia; Primates; Hominidae.
GAUGAAUGGACUUCAAGACAAGGAAAGGCUCUCAGGGAAUACUUUCCAAGCCCGCAGGAAUGUAAGGACACUCCCACAUCGCUGGCCUUCUCUCUCAAGCAGAUGCACUCUUAUCCUUUGAGGUGCAGAUGCCCGGGACAUGCUUCCAUUGCAGCAUCAUCAAGAUGGCUUGGGAUCAAGAUGACUUGGGCGCACUAUCCUCCCUACCAGGCCCCGAGCAACACCAUCAUUUCUCAUUCCUGAUUCCCAGGAGAGCAUGACACAGAGAGGUGCUCAGCAUCUUCCUGAGACUUAUAGAAGAAGCCAAGGAGCUGAGAGCAGCAGAGACAAGAAACAGAGGGAGAGUGAGAAAGUCCAGGGCCAUUCCGCAACUCAAGCAGGAGAAAAACCCAGGAGUGGGGUGGCGUAGGCGGGGCCACC